This 321-nucleotide long non-coding RNA is filed under the name Pan troglodytes (chimpanzee). Its description in RNAcentral is "long non-coding RNA NONPTRT002012". Lineage: Eukaryota; Metazoa; Chordata; Mammalia; Primates; Hominidae. The record is from RNAcentral.
CAAGUGACAUUGGUAGUCAAUACUUCUUGGACCACAGGUUUGAAACUAGGCAGAAAACUGGCUCCAACUCGGUUUUACAAACAUAACUGCACUGAUUUCUAUAUUCUCUCACAGGUUAUGAGGAAACCAGCUCCAUUGAACAGUAGCCAUUCUCCUGCCUCAGCCUCCCAAGUAGCUGGGACCACAGGUGCCCGCCACCACGCCCGGCUGAUUUUUUGUAUUUUUAGUAGAGACGCGGUUUCACGGUGUUAGCCAGGAUGAUCUCGAGCUCCUGACCUCGUGAUCCGCCCGCCUCGGCCUCCCAAAAUGCUGGGAUUACAG